GAUGAACGCUAGCUACAGGCUUUACACAUGCAAGUCGAGGGGCAACGAUGGCAGAGCUUUCUCUCUUAGGCGUCGACCGGCGCACGGGUGAGUAACGCGUAUCCAACCUACCCAUUACGGGCGGCUAACCUUGCAAAAGUACGACUAAUACCCCAUGGCUUUUUGUGGUGGCCUCAUUAUAGGAUUAAAGUUUUAUUGGUAAUGGAUGGGGAUGCGUCUGAUUAGCUUGUUGGCUGGGUAACGGCCCACCAAGGCAACGAUCAGUAGGGGAUCUGAGAGGAAGGUCCCCCAGAUUGGAACUGCGACACGGUCUAAACCGCUACGGAGGGGAGGAGUGAGGAAGAUUAGGCAAGGGGCGAGAGCUUGAACCAGCCAAGUAGCGUGCAGGAGGACGGCGCUAGGGGUUGUAAUCUGUUUGUAAAGGGGAACUCUGUGAGCUACGUGUAGUUUAAUGCAGGUACCCGAUGAAUAAGGACCGGCUAAUUCCGUG
RNAcentral lists this ribosomal RNA (490 nucleotides) under uncultured bacterium. RNAcentral describes it as "partial 16S ribosomal RNA". It matches the Rfam family "Bacterial small subunit ribosomal RNA", at positions 28 to 507 of the family's 1533-position model. The record is from RNAcentral.